RNAcentral lists this ribosomal RNA (712 nucleotides) under uncultured organism. Its description in RNAcentral is "bacterial SSU rRNA". It matches the Rfam family "Bacterial small subunit ribosomal RNA", at positions 8 to 697 of the family's 1533-position model. The record is from RNAcentral.
AGAGUUUGAUCCUGGCUCAGGACGAACGCUGGCGGCGUGCUUAACACAUGCAAGUCAAGGAGAAAGGAUAUCUUCGGAUAUCUGAUUACACUGGCGGAUGGGUGAGUAACGCGUAGGCAACCUACCUUCAGGUUUGGGAUAACACUGCUAACGCGGUGCUAAUACCAGAUGGUGCAUAUACACUGCAUGGUGUAUAUGUUAAAGCUGGCCACUGAUAUAAGCUAGUACCUGUAGAUGGGCUUGCGUUUCAUUAGUUAGUUGGUGGGGUAAUGGCUCACCAAGGCGACGAUGGAUAGCCGGCCUGAGAGGGUGAUCGGCCACACUGGGACUGAGAUACGGCCCAGACUCCUACGGGAGGCAGCAGUGAGGAAUAUUGCGCAAUGGCAGAAAUGCUGACGCAGCAACGCCGCGUGAGGGAUGAAGCUUUUCGGAGUGUAAACCUUUGUUAGGAGGGACGAACGGGCAUAAUACGAAUAGGGUUAUGCCGUGACGGUACCUCCAGAGGAAGCCCCGACUAACUCCGUGCCAGCAGCCGCGGUAAUACGGGGGGGGCAAGCGUUGUCCGGAAUCAUUGGGCGUAAAGGGCGCGUAGCUGACAGGUCAGUCUGUGGUGCAUCUUGUGGCUUAACCGUAAGUUUGCCAUGGAAACUACCUGUCUUGAGAUCGGAAGGGGGAAGCGGAAUUCCUGGUGUAGCGUGAAAUGCGUAGAUAU